CGAUGAAACAUGGAAAGCUAGCUACGGUGGACAACACGUGGAAACAUAAAUCUUUGUCUGGCCUUACAGCCCAUGGACUAAGCCACGAAUGCGUACGAAGACGAAGAAGAACGUGUAUCCCGUGAUAAAAAAAGGUUUGACAAGCUGAUAUCCCCACCUAACGGGCAAAAGCUCCCUGAUCAACGUAUUGAGGACCUACCCGGAUUAGAGCUCUGAUCCUAGCGCCUACGGUUCCUCUAAAACGGAACUCACUAAAUUUAAGUUGGGACAGAUAACCCUUCUUGUCUCCCCCAGGUCUGUCUUUAUAGGUCGUCCGUUUUGGUCCGGAGUCCGGCAUUUACCCCUGCAACCCGGGGAGGUUGCAAGCAUCAGGAGCUCCCACGUUGAUUGGAGUGGCGAUGGUGACUGGGCGUGGCUGAUGACCGACGAUAGGUGUAUUGUAAUUAUUCCUUAUUUUGCUUAUACUUCAUAUAUUUUCCAGACUCUCUAUUUAGGCUAUAAAUCCAAUUCAGUUUGUAGGUUAAGCCUUUUUUUUACUUGUAGGUUAAGCUCUAUUUAGUUUGUAAGUUAAACUCUAUUUAGUUUGUAAGUUACACUCUAUUUAGUUUGUAAGUAACACUCUAUUUAGUUUGCAAGUUACACUCUGUUUAGUUGGUAAGUAACACUCUAUUUAGUUUGCAAGUUACACUCUGUUUAGUUGGUAAGUUUUAAUCUCAUAUAGUUUUUAGGUUGUAACUUCCUGAUGCACGUAGUUUUUAGGAUUAAUUCGCAUGUAGUUUUUCAAGAUUAAUUGACACGUAGCUUUUAAGAUUAUUCGGCAUGUAGAUUUUAGCCUUGUGUUUUUCUUUCUUAUUUGUAGUUGAUUAAUUAAUUUAGGUUGUAGCCAAAAAUGCAAAUUUUCUUGAACACAAAUUCACGGCAAAUAAAAAAACUCUUUCGCUA
Stomoxys calcitrans (stable fly) is the source of this 942-nucleotide long non-coding RNA. RefSeq lists it as uncharacterized. The transcript has 3 exons. The record is from RefSeq and is a predicted model, not a curated record. Lineage: Eukaryota; Metazoa; Arthropoda; Insecta; Diptera; Muscidae.